AGUGGCGCAAGGGUGAGUAAGGCGACGGUAACCAACCCCAUGAUUGGGUAUAGCCGCGGGAAACCGCGGGUAAUCCCCAGCGACGCACGGCCUCGGCAUCGAGGCCUUGCCAAAGCUCCGGCGUCGUGGGACGGGCCGUCGUGGUAUUAGGUAGUUGGGGGGGUAAUGGCCCACCAAGCCUACGAUGCCUACCGGGCGUGCGAGCGUGGCCCGGCACACUGGGACUGAGACACUGUCCAGACUCCUACGGGAGGCUGCAGUCGAGAAUCUUCGGCAAUGGGCGCAAGCCUGACCGAGCGACGCCGCGUGGAGGAUGAAGGCCUUCGGGUUGUAAACUCCUGUCGAGGGGGAGGAAGGGGCAACCUUGACCGAUCCCUGGAGGAAGCACGGGCUAAGUUCGUGCCAGCAGCCGCGGUAAGACGAACUGUGCGAACGUUAUUCGGAAUCACUGGGCUUAAAGGGUGCGUAGGCGGUUUUCUAAGUCACGUGUGAAAUCUUCCGGCUCAACCGGAAAACUGCGCGUGAUACUGGAUAACUUGAGUGAGGUAGGGGUGUGUGGAACUUCCGGUGGAGCGGUGAAAUGUGUAGAGAUCGGAAGGAACGCCAGCAGCGAAAGCGGCACACUGGGCCUUUUCUGACGCUGAGGCACGAAAGCUAGGGGAGUGAACGGGAUUAGAUACCCCGGUAAUCCUAGCCGUAAACACUGAACACUGGAGGACGGGGGUUUCGGCCUUCGUUCUCGUAGCGAAAGCGUUAAGUGUUCCGCCUGGGGAGUACGGUC
This 781-nucleotide ribosomal RNA is filed under the name uncultured bacterium. Its description in RNAcentral is "bacterial SSU rRNA". It matches the Rfam family "Bacterial small subunit ribosomal RNA", at positions 94 to 887 of the family's 1533-position model. The record is from RNAcentral.